Culex pipiens pallens (northern house mosquito) is the source of this 7951-nucleotide long non-coding RNA. RefSeq lists it as uncharacterized. The record is from RefSeq and is a predicted model, not a curated record. Lineage: Eukaryota; Metazoa; Arthropoda; Insecta; Diptera; Culicidae. The transcript is spliced from 3 exons.
CAUGCUUAGUUUACAGUAUCCACAAGAAAUUUAUUUGAAUCGAUCCCACUGUACUCUCCUUAACUAUGUUUGCUGAAAUUCCUAUCUAUUGUGUUGCUGUUAUUGAGGAAAUUUUAUUUGAAUGAAUAAUAUCCAGCUUUCAAUUAAGGCAGGCCAAGGAUUGAUACCUAAGAGCAUGCAAUGGUACAGACCUUGCUGCGUGCUCUUCGGUUGACAUCCAAGUAAGGAACAGCCUGGAAGGAGCGCAACUAUCUACAUCCGUAGUUCUGUUAGAUCAUUCGAUUUAUUUUGAUCAGAACAGUACAGCUCUUGUUCCUUGCACGCAAGGGUCCUGAUUGCUCAAAAUCAACAACUCCAUUCGCGAACACAAAUAGCAGGCGACGCGAUACUGCCCUGAAGAAUUCCUACCGUUUGUCACUUUCACACCAUUCGCUCCCGAACACUCUCUCUUCUACUCUCCUUCUCUCUCUGAUCGGCUCAGUCUCCGAACGGCUCAGGCAGGCCGAUCGUCUCCGAUCACUCUGAACUGAAAACAUUUUUUCUCUGAUGCGCUGCGUUAGACUCAUUGAUUCGGGUUGCCUAAAAUCAAUGUUAUCAAUCAAAUUGUGCAUUUAUUUUGAUUUCAUAACAUUAUUGACACCAUUCAAAGAAACUUCCACCAAGAAAAAAUCAAAUUGAUGGCAAACUGAGGGCGUGAAGACAAAAAGACUGCCGCGCUGGCAUUUUGUGAGAAUGGCUCUUAUCUGAGCAUGUUAGUGUAUAAGUGUCGUCGAGCGACGGAGUGGGCCAAUGUUUUCACUAUGUAUUUUUUCGCUGAGUGAACAGUUCGAGCCACUCGCUGGCUGCUUGCGAGUCUCAUUCGCUCAUGAUUGCAAGCGGGUUAGAAUAGGCGACGAAUGGAUAGACGAUGAGUGAGUGGUUUCUGUUCAUUGAAGCGAGAAUCAGGACCCUUGCUUGCAAGUGUCCUAUUUUCUUACCUCCACGUUGACUUGGUUUAGUCAUCAUGAUGACAAGUUGUAACCUAGCUGGUGGCCUGUGGAAACUGCUCGUAAUUCUUUAGCCACCACGGGUCAGAGUCGAGACAGCUAAAAGAAAGGGGCGCGACAAUGUGGGAAAGGGAAGUAAUUUGUGAUUGUUUUGAUUCGCAGUAUGUUGAGUCAACUGGAUGUACCUGAAACAUUACAGAACGGAGUUUCUCUUCUUUCCAUUUUUAUCUACCAUCUAUUUUAAUUUUGUUUUACUGAUUUUCUUAAACGGCAUCUGAUUAUUAUCCACCAUUUUAUUUUGAUUUUAUCAACCUUUGGUUAUCUUAUGUAUAAAAAAAAACAAAAAAAUUAUAAUUCCAGCUGUCAAACUGAAAAUUUCUAUCUAUUUUUGUUCCAAGAGAUAAGUUCGGUUGAUUCAAAAUAAGAAAAACUCCGGUUAAGUUGCAUUAAAAAAAAUACGUUUGAAUCAACAGCAAAAUGUUUUUAUACUAAACAAUGUUUCGAGUUUAUGUUUACAAAAUAUUAAAAUUGUUUCGCCUUUUGAAAAAAAAAACGAAAUUAAGUUUAUGAUUAUUGCAAUUUUUCGUUUCAACCUGAAAGAAUCUUCUUUUAAAUUUAAUGAUGCAUUUCUAUUUCCACCUAACGGCUAGAGCUGUUGUUUCUGGAUCAAAAUUUCAGCGAUGGCCUAUACAUGUCUGGGUACCAAAAGUUGCGUCUUUUAAAUACAAAAAAUUUGGUACCCAAACAUCUAUAGGUCAUUGCUGAAAUUUUAAAGUUAUUGUGGUUUUAGUGAAAAAAGUUGAUUUUUUGCCAAUUUCGUCAUUCUCCGGUUUUUGCGCGCGGUGCGUCAAAAAACCCGGAUUUUAUUUUCAAAAAAUCAUAUCUCGGAAUCCUGUUAAUGAACUCCUCCCAUUUUUUGGUAUGUUACGUAAAAAUGUCCGGGGAAUCCGAUAACAAUAUUUCCAGACAUAGGCUCUUUGGUCCAGACACCGUCAAAACGGCAUUUUAAAGUUUCAUACGCCCUUUUCAUAUGUUAGGCUAAAUUUUUGAAACAACUUAUAACCUUUCAUUUGCGUAUAAGUCAAUUGAAAUCGGAUAAAAUGGCGAGGAGUUAUGAUUUUUCGAAAAAAGUGGUUUUUGCGAAAAUCGACGAAAAUGGCCAUUUUUCAGACCACCCUUACACGGCGUAGGUCACCCUAAUGGCCAAACAAAAAAAUACGGGUCUAAUUAUUUCGGCCAGGGAACUCCCAGAAAAAUUUUGAGCCCGAUCAGAGCACUUUUGUUUUUUUCCAUGCUGUUUUCGUGAGGAAUUGCUGUAUCUAUAUCUUUUAAACUACUGUCUAUUUUUACAUCUACUUACUACAUAAAGCUUUUACUUGUAAUUCUUAAACAUACCAUUAUUAUCUUUCUUUUACUGUUGAUUCUUUAUGCAGUUCAUUUUCCUUUACUAUCUAAAAUUUUUACCCUUUUCUUCAAAAAAUAGGAAAAUAGCAAAACUUUUGGACGGUGCCAAAAAAGAACGGGUGGUUCAUUUUGGUUCAAAAUCGGGAUUAUUACAUGUUUUGAUAGUAGUAAUAGCUCCACCAAAUUUGAGCUUAAUCAGAGAAAGUCCAUUUCAAAGUGUGCAAGUUGGCGCGACAUUACUUGUGACAUUAUUUCACCACUAAUCUAAUCUAAUCAGACCCUAGCGCAGCCCUGGAGAGUGCCUUAGGUUAGAUGACGCCUAGCACUCUUCUUGUCAUUUAUUAACAUUUGUAGUGCGCCAUUGCAUUGAAAUGCAUUGAAACAUCACAAGCGUUAAAGCGGCCAGGCCUACUGCGUAGAGCCGUAUCGUAGAGAUGACUUGUAAUUGGGUUGAGUUUGAGCACUGAGUGUUCGAACAACAACACAAUUCUGAAUCGACAGGGGAGGAAGAAGCGUGGGGACACACCACCAUACGCUGUAACAGUUAAUUCCGCGAGAAGAAAAACUCCGCCCAGACCCUAGCGAAGACGCAGAACACGCGAGUUCCCAACUGCUCGAAUUCGCUUGAUCUGGGCGGGUCGCACUGGUUUGCCUCCCGAAGAUGAGACGAUGAUGAUUAGGAUGAGAUAUUAUUUCAUCAGUUCGAUGACGCAAAAAGUGAUUUCCGCUGAUGAGCCCUUCUAUCCCUUUGUCCACCCACCUUUCCUCCUAGCUCCCCGAACCUUAAAUAGCCAUAAGCCGUUCAUAUACGCAGCAAGCAAGUCGCAAGUUUAGUUUUACCCCCGAUCACCGUCGUCGCGAGUAAGGAGUGUACGAGAAAGUACGAAGAGAAGUGUAAAGUGUUCUAAUCGACAGAGGAAGAUCUGGACGAUUAAUAAGCCAAACGUAAGUUUGUACUCGCUAGGUGUUCGCGAUCUAAUCCGCUUCCCCACCUCAGGCCCCGAAUCGUCCCUGGUUCGCCGCGUGCUACGGCACGGUCAAAAGCGUGAUUAAGCCAAAACUAUCGUGCGGACGUCACCAUCGCACUGAACCAGCAAGUCGCCGUCGGCGACUUCGCCGCUGUUAGGGCAUAUCCAAGCAGUUUCGUUAUUAGACGGUGAUCGAAAGUGAGAAAGAUUGUAAAGUUCUCCCCAGAAGCCAACUAAGAAGAAGGUAACUUGCGACCAGGUAGAAUUGCGGUUAAGUAAGUGCUAAGAUAACCCUCUCAUUCAAAGGUUGACGUGCGGGGCUCAAAGAGCGCGGCGCGCACGCGCACGUGGCAACGCGAUAAUUUCGCACCCGGGCUGACUAAGCCCGCGCACAGCACGUGCCGGCAAGUACGACUCGUGCCAUCAGCUUCCAGCAACCUGACCACGUGUAGCGCUACUAACAGCAUCGAUUAAGCCCCCCGCGAGGUCAAGGCAAUAACGCGUCGUUCACGCGUGCAGCGCCGGUUCCCGUAGGAGUCCACAUUGCCGACUCUGAGCCAAAGGGCCACGGCGCACGUGAGUUUUGCUCUCCGUAGGAGGCCGAGCCAAACCCUCUGAGCAAAAGGAAGCAACGACUCGCACGAACGGCAACAGCGUUACCCUUAACCACCUCGCCAAGCAACGUCAACGCGCACGAUCGAAACGGCCAGACAGCCGCCGGCCAAGGCCCGCGAUACGUGAUCGCCUCGUGAAGGAAUCGUUUCUCUGCCAGCUGUACGUGAAGUACCAUUGGGUCCAGCGCGUCGUCACACGUGCCUGGCGUCAGACCUGUAGGAGUCCACGCCACCGGCUCUGAGCAAAAGGGUCUCGACGCAAUUGAGCACAUCUCUCCGUAGGGGCCCCUGUCAACCGCCCUGAGCAACUGGAAUUUGUAGCUCGCACGACGACAACAGCGCUCGACACAUUCACUUCAACCUGAGCGCAACCUUCGGUCCAGUGCCACCCUUUCGUUCCCCAAGUGUCCUGCGUUGAAUCCCGUAGGAGUGCACCGUCCGCACCUCCGAGCAAUUGGGAGCAGCGCGCCAAGAUUCUGCCACCUGUAGGGCCCACCCGCAACCGGGCCCGAGUCAUUGGGUAGCAGCGAUCGACAAGAACGAAGUACGUGGGUAUACAACACGAUCGACGGUUCAACUAGGCAGCAGCACAAGCUACACCGCGCUCGACGAGCGCGCCAAACCAGCCCGCCACUCAGGCGUGGGCGUAUCAACUAAGCCACGAACGAUUCCACGAGCAGCAAACCGUCCACGGGACGGCAUUCCGGACCUGCCGGCCAAGCCGGCGAAGGCGGCCCUGCAGAGUACGAGGAGCAGAAGCACCGAACAGCAGAGCGAGAAUCAACGCGCGAGCAGCAGCGACCGCCGCAGACCAGCCAGGACACCGACGUAACCUAGGUUACCACCACAAGGUCAGAUCUUUCCUUUAUGUGUACACAUAACUAACCAUUCAUGCGCAUUAGUAUUAAGGCCCCUUGUAUUUAAUAAAUAAGUCGGAAGAAAAGUAAGCUCUGAGUCAAGGUGUCCAAUUUGUAAGCGUGGACUGAGCUGACUUAUGACUAUUUCCCUCCCCUAAUCUCUUAUCCUUUCAUGGCAAUAAAUUAGUAUGGACUUAACCACUUGUUUUCGUCAGAUCUGAGUUAAAUUGAGUUGGAUCGCUUCCAGUCAGACCCGCCCUGAGCGAGCUAGUCCGGGCAGGCUUCAUCUCGCGACUUCGUACGCGUCCCUGCUAGGGUCGCGUUGGCGCUUAAGCGAAGUGCGUUUCAUUCUUACAGUUCGAUAAGGGUCGCGGUCAAGCCGACCUUGUAGCAUAAUUGUUCCAUUCAGUUUCGUAUCGUUGGUUUCGUUAGUUUCGAUUAUCUGGGACAAAUCUUGUUACAACGCUCCGAGAUUUUGGUUGUAUUCGUUGGGAGCACCAUGCUUAGAAGGUUUGGUACUCCGGGACCCUCAGGGAUGGGACAUUGUAUUUCCACGAAUGCCCUGGAUACUAUUUGCCGUGGUGAUAGCGCCACAACUCGCUCUCUGUAACAGUAUUCCUAAUUCCAGUCCACGCUCACCAAGUCGUCAUGGCCUAGUGGUUAGCAUUUUUGCUUACCAAUCCAAAUGACGGAGGAUCGAACGACUUUGAUUUUUCGUUCAUAUUCACCUUUUCAAAUUUACGUGUUCUUAACAUUCUCGUUGGGAGCAGAUGGGAAUUGAACCCAGAACCAUUCGCUUACAAAGCGAUCACCGUAACCAGUCAGCCACGGCCGCUCCUCCUUGUGACAUUAUUUCACCACUACGGAUUAAUUCAUUCUUUGAGUACAAACUCCUCGGUGGCAGAGUGGUUAGAGCAUCUGAUAACCCAUACAAAGGUGUAAGUUCGAAUCCCACCUGAUUAUAUACGUUUUUUUUUGUUCAUAUUCAAAGUUCAGUUACAGUCGAAAAAAUUCAAAGAUACUCGUCGGGGCCGUAGCCGUUAAGACACGGGCCGGUUGCGUAAAAAAUGUCAUUUUGUGAAGCUAAUGACUUCUUAGCAAAAAAUCAUUAAAAUACGGUGUCUCCGAGAAAGUUUUUCCAAAUUUAAUGAUAAUCGCAGUUCUUAGAACUUGUAAAAAUUGUAUAGUUUCUCAGUCCCCCCCCCCCCCUCCCGUUGUUGACAAUUUUCAUACAAAACAAAUAUUUUUUGUAUGGAGCGUGGACAAUCGCUGACCCACCUUUGAUUUUAUGUCAUUUUCAGUUUUUUAACUGAAUAAAUGGAGGUGCACGGUACUUUUGGUUACUUUGCGGCUGCACAACACCUCCCAAAUGCUUUUAAAUGCAAUGGAUACUGAUCAAAGGGGUCGUCCAUUAAAUAUUUCACAAUAUGACGAAUUUUAGGUAGUGCGAUUCUACUGCAAAAUAAGUUCAAUGUGUUUUUACUGGAUAAGGUACAAAAAAAGCAUUAUUAAUAUGAAACAUUUGAAAAAUCAGGCUCAAAUAAAAAAAAUCGCUCUACAGUAUUGCCUUGGCGUUCUCGAUUGCGAGAUUCCUACUAGAAACUAGGUGUCGGGAGGCUUGAUUGUUGAGGCAAUUGCAAACCUCUUUUUACACCUUAGCUUCCAUCCACCCCAGGAUUCAAACUGACGACCUUUAGAUUGUUAGUCCAACUGCCUACCAGCGACUCCACCGAGGCAGGACCCAGGGAGACGACUCCUACACCUGGACUGAGCUAUCGACCUAACCUCUAGGUUAGACCGGGGCCAACAUUUACUUCCCCGUCCGACGGAAGGCGUGAUCAGACAAACCUCGUCUCGAAAAAUGCCACCGGGACCUUCUGGGAUCGAACCCAGGCCGACUGAGUGAGAGGCAAAUAUUUACAAAAAACUAAUUCGAUGUUUCGAUUUCGAUAUAGGUGGCCAGCGUGACAAUUUGUGGCAUAGGGGGAAAGGGGUCAAUUUUUGCUGAUUUUAGUGUGCCAUACUGUAUGGAUGACGCCUCAUAUACUAAAAAUAAUGUUAUUAUCUUUGUUAAAUAAUUAAGGGGGAUUAAGGGGGAGGCGGUGUUGUAAGUGUGGUUGGAGCCUUAAAUAUUUAAUGGACGACCCAUUUGAUCAGUAUCCAUUGCAUUUAAAAGCAUUUGGGAGGAGUUGUGCAGCCGCAAAGUAACCAAAAGUACCGUGCGCCUCAAUUUAUACAGUUAAAAAACUGAAAAUGACAAAAAGUCGAAAAUCCCUUGGUGAAAUAUUUUCUAGGUCACAGAUAUCGAAAAGGGAUCACACCCUUAGCUACCUUUCCACAAAAAAAUAUUUUAGGUACAUUCAAUUUCAAUAAUAAUUGCCUUCCGCCAUGGCGUGUGUCGUACCGUUCCGUUCAAAUGUUGCUCCAGAUUUCUACUUUUGUUGACCUGUAGGGUCCUUCGGAAGGCGCAAGUAUUGACGAAUAAGGAUGAUUGGCUCUCACUAAUCAUUAUUGAGUCAUUGUUAAACUUCAACUGAUGCGUCAAUAACGGGGUAGUAACUAAUUUGAAUUGUCAGAAUUGUUUCUCAAAUUUGUUUUGAAAUUUAGAAAACUUGAAAAACAUAUUUUUAAAGCUUCUAAGUUUUUGUAGCUUUUUUAUAUUUCAAAAUUUUAUAAUAUUAAACAAUUAAAAAAUUAAACUUUUUCAAUUUUAGAUAUUUGUUUAUCAAAUCUUAAUUUUUAUGUUUUGAAAUUGUUGAAUUUUUUUAAAGCUUCAACAUUUAAAUGUAAUUUUUUAAUUUUUGGAUGUUUGUUGAAGGGUUAAUUUAUUGUAAUUUUUAGAAUGUUGUUGAACGCUUUAUUUAUUUAGCGCUUUGUAAGAGAGAAAUAUGAAACUGAUGGUUUGAUUACGAUCGGUGUUAAACCACCGGGGUUUUAGAAUAUUAGUAUUUUUUAACAACAUUUCAAAAUAGUUUUUUCGAAAAAAAAACUAAGUAUUAGAAAAUACCAUUUUUUUACAUAGAAAAUUAGUCGUCUAACGCCCAUGGUUGCUCCUGAUUGCUAUUUAAUUUGGACCUCUUAACAAAAUAUCUUGGAUAAACCAUCUUUAAAUAUUUGUUUCG